CUAAGAAUCUUCCGCAAUGGACGAAAGUCUGACGGAGCGACGCCGCGUGGGUGAUGAAGGCGGAAACGUUGUAAAGCCCUUUUAUAGGCGAGGAAUAAGAUCCGGAGGGAAUGCCGGGUCGAUGACGUUAGCCUGUGAAUAAGCCCCGGCUAAUUACGUGCCAGCAGCCGCGGUAACACGUAUGGGGCGAGCGUUGUUCGGAAUUAUUGGGCGUAAAGGGUGCGCAGGCGGUUCUACAAGUCUGGUGUUAAAUCCCGCAGCUUAACUGCGGACAGGCAUUGGAAACUGUAGGACUAGAGUUCUGGAGGGGUAGCUGGAAUUCCAGGUGUAGGGGUGAAAUCUGUAGAUAUCUGGAAGAACAUCAAUGGCGAAGGCAAGCUACUGGCCAAGGACUGACGCUGAGGCACGAAAGCGUGGGGAGCAAACAGG
RNAcentral lists this ribosomal RNA (429 nucleotides) under uncultured bacterium. RNAcentral describes it as "bacterial SSU rRNA". It matches the Rfam family "Bacterial small subunit ribosomal RNA", at positions 355 to 776 of the family's 1533-position model. The record is from RNAcentral.